Molecule: long non-coding RNA, 660 nt
Filed under: Brachypodium distachyon (stiff brome)
Lineage: Eukaryota; Viridiplantae; Streptophyta; Magnoliopsida; Poales; Poaceae
Description: long non-coding RNA (BDIS_LNC002953)
Source: RNAcentral
GACAUACAAAUACACCAUCUUCUUUAACCAUUUUAGUGAAUGGGGGUGGAAUCGACUUUUCAAAUUCAAACCCAUCAUUGAGUAGAAAAUCUCUAACAUGCUCAUACCAAACUCGUGAUGCUUGCUUAAGUUCAUAUAGUAUCAUGAAAUUUAUACACAUGAUUGGCAAAAUAGGGAGGACAAUACAGGACCCAUGUUCUCAAUUUUUUGGAAGGCAUGACUAUAAGGAAGCCCCCGCAGAUACGUUUCUAUUGACCUCUUCUUUUCAGCUUACAGGACGGGAUUUCCUGAGAGGCCGCUCUCCCCCAGCUAACUAGAGGAGCCGUCCAAAUUUUUUGCUAGUCUUCCAAAUUAGAAUCCCAAAAGAGGGGGGGUUAUAUUUUGUCCACCAGAAGACAUUGGCAAAUUUACAAGCAGCAAGCGGCACAUGUACAAGUAGCAUACAGAUUUAUUCUUCCAUUUCUUGAUUAGGUCUAUAUCUACAGAUUUAUGUCAAAAAAAUGGUUCAGCAUCAGGGAUGUAGUUGAGGAUUUAUAUAUUUUAACUUGAAAGAACAAAAAAAAAAUCAAAUUCAUCGAGGAUCCCUUGGUUUCGUCGUGACAAGUAAAACUCUCCUUCCGCGCAACCACCUGUUUCAUUUUUCGUUCGUUAUAAAAGUCC